This 21-nucleotide unclassified non-coding RNA is filed under the name Mus musculus (house mouse). RNAcentral's name for it is "oocyte_clustered_small_RNA4816". The record is from RNAcentral. Lineage: Eukaryota; Metazoa; Chordata; Mammalia; Rodentia; Muridae.
UCUGUGGUCGGCCAUGCUUUG